This is a long non-coding RNA of Populus trichocarpa (black cottonwood), 2099 nucleotides long. RefSeq lists it as uncharacterized. The record is from RefSeq and is a predicted model, not a curated record. The transcript has 3 exons. Lineage: Eukaryota; Viridiplantae; Streptophyta; Magnoliopsida; Malpighiales; Salicaceae.
UAAAAAUCUUUUGAAGCUGAUGGUUUUAUAGAUUGCAAGUGAGAAGUAAGAAGCUUACCUUAACAACGUAUAGUGUUUGGCAAUAUGCAGUGCUUCUUUGCGGAUUCCAGAGUUGGGAGUGGAUCUUCAAGCAAUACUGUACUUUUCCUGUCUGAAAUUAUGGGAAUGUACUUUGUCUCUUCUAUACUACUGAUAAGAAAACGCUUAGCAACUGAGUACAGUUCAACUAGGGGAUAACAUCUGUUUCCGAAGCUUCUGGGAAGUCCUCAUGUUGAGCAUUUCAUUUUUAGAAGAAAGAGGGAAAACAAAAACUGUUACUGAAAUAAGACCACAUGCACUCAAUACUGGAUUAUUUAUUGUCAGACAUAAGUACAAAAAUGGUGUUACCAGACUAGAAUGUCAAUUGUUUUUGCAAGGUGAUGAUUCCUGACCCUGUUAGGCAAGUUUUUCCAGUAUUUCAGACAGCAAAUUCUUAAUAGAUGUGUAGAUCUUUUGUUCAUUCUCUUGAAAAUAUAAGUAAGUAUUGUUCUCUGGUUAAUUAACUUGCACAAUAUCGAUGUGUAUGUAGAUUUGUUUGUUUUCAGUUUACCACAAAUUUCGUACUAUGAAUUGUUAUGCUCUGCAUGUAACCACACAAUCUUUGACUUUGUUUGGAAUUGGAUGAUCGAAUCCUCUUAGUUUCUGAAAAUUUACCAAACCAAUCUUCUUUCUUAAUAAAUGCAAAGCUAAAAGAUUACAAGAAUGCAGAUUAAUUUGUGGCUACUUGUUAUUUAUUCUUUGCUUAACUGGGCUGCUUUCAAUCGUAUUUUUGAUUUUUUUGAACUGUUAUCCCUUGGCAGGAUAAUCAUAACAGAAGUCUAGGUGGAGAAAUUCAGUUUGACUUCUAUCACCGGUGUUUUGAUGCAAUCUUUGUAGCAAGUGCUUUCCUUUCACUGCUUUUGCUUUCUGCACAUUAUAAGUCUUGCCAGUCUUAUAAACACCCAAUCGAUUGAUGUAUACUUUGUGUAAGUAUGUGCUAAUUCAAUCAUUUCUUUUAUCCUGCGUUAUUCAUCUCAUCAAGCUGAUUAAAACCCUACUGUUUAUUGUUGGAUGACAGUUUUUAAGAAACUACAAAUUUGACAGUCAAGACAUUUAUGAAGCUACGGACUUCAAGUAGUGUCAUGAUCAUUUAUGCAUAACAUAUGCUUGGUGCCAUUGGAUUUAUGUAGUAGACUUGCAAUGAGAAGAGUUUGAAAAAUGCCAAAAUGCAUGGGACAAAUCUAUUGUUUUCUGUCAUCUCAUGUUUAAAGGAAGAGAGUGUUGUCUGACUGCUAACUGCCUAGGAUUCGCUCCAGCUUUAUCAUGAGCACACUAGCUUUCAGUAUCUCAUGUAUUCCUGAGGAUUACAAAAAUGACCUAAGCUAAAACAAACUUGAGGAACAGAGGAUAAUGGUGAAACAAGUCAAACUGAAUUCAGAUGCCCAUUGCUAUGUGAAUAUUUUACUGUGUUGGUGAUUUUAUCAUCCAUAAAUGGGAUAUUUAGCCAUACCAUCGGUUAUUCACUAUGUCAAAGGUUAGAUCAGUUAUCUACCUGAUUUUAAAUCACCCUCCGACCAUUUUCUUGGUUUCGUUCCCACCAUGCUAACCAAGAGAGAUUAGUAAUAGUUUUAGAAUCUCGAUGUGUUGGACCUACAGCCCCAAAAUGCAAGACGAGGCAAAACCGUGCUUUGAUUAUUUUUGGAGGAUAUCUGUUUCCGACAGAAAGGCCAUUACAGUGUCAGAAACAAAGGUCCAUAGUGGGAUGAUAUCUUGACGUGUAGACCUCAGCAGUUCGCAUGAAGUGGUUCUAAAAGUUUCUACUGUUCGAUCUUCAAUGACACCUAGAGAUGAGUCAUAGUAAAUUGAUGCAGUAGUGACUGGCAUGCAGGAUUCUACAGUAAACUUUGGGUUCUGUAAUAUGGCAGUUUGGUAUGUCAAGAUGACAUCGGCUGCUAGAUAUUAUACGGGUAGCGGGUUACUCUGGCAGAUUCCACCUUGAUGCUUUAUUGCUAAAGGGCAUAAAAGCCAAGGAUGUCUCUUGGAUUCUGCAUUAGCAAUGCACCACAACUUGUGUAAUUAGA